GACGAACGCUGGCGGCGUGCCUAAUACAUGCAAGUAGAACGCUGAAGGAGGAGCUUGCUUCUCUGGAUGAGUUGCGAACGGGUGAGUAACGCGUAGGUAACCUGCCUGGUAGCGGGGGAUAGCUAUUGGAAACGAUAGCUAAUACCGCAUAAGAGUAGAUGUUGCAUGACAUUUACUUAAAAGGUGCAAUUGCAUCACUACCAGAUGGACCUGCGUUGUAUUAGCUAGUUGGUGAGGUAACGGCUCACCAAGGCAACGAUACAUAGCCGACCUGAGAGGGUGAUCGGCCACACUGGGACUGAGACACGGCCCAGACUCCUACGGGAGGCAGCAGUAGGGAAUCUUCGGCAAGGGACGGAAGUCUGACCGAGCAACGCCGCGGGAGUGAAGAAGGGUUUCGGAUCGUAAAGCUCUGUUGUAAGAGAAGAACGAGUGUGAGAGUGGAAAGUUCACACUGUGACGGUAGCUUACCAGAAAGGGACGGCUAACUACGUG
This 495-nucleotide ribosomal RNA is filed under the name uncultured bacterium. RNAcentral's name for it is "partial 16S ribosomal RNA". It matches the Rfam family "Bacterial small subunit ribosomal RNA", at positions 28 to 507 of the family's 1533-position model. The record is from RNAcentral.